RNAcentral lists this ribosomal RNA (315 nucleotides) under uncultured eukaryote. RNAcentral describes it as "partial 18S ribosomal RNA". It matches the Rfam family "Eukaryotic small subunit ribosomal RNA", at positions 1470 to 1796 of the family's 1831-position model. The record is from RNAcentral.
CCCUUAGAUGUCCUGGGCCGCACGCGUGCUACACUGACACUUACACCGAGUUUUUCCGGCCCCGAGAGGUGGCUGGUAAUCAGUAAUAGGUGUCGUGAUGGGGAUAGAUCUUUGGAAUUAUUGAUCUUGAACGAGGAAUGCCUAGUAAUCGCAGGUCAUCAGCCUGCGAUGAUUACGUCCCUGCCCUUUGUACACACCGCCCGUCGCUCCUACCGAUUUCGAGUGGUCCGGUGAACCUUUCGGACAGAGAGAGUCUCGUACAAUCUCUGAAAGUCAAGUAAACCACAUCACUUAGAGGAAGGAGAAGUCGUAACA